CCUGGCUGCAGCGCCGCGUUGCAGCCGGCAGGGGGCGCCAGCGGGUCACUACAGAGCCCCCCGCCCCUUUCCGGGGUCCGAGGUGGCGCGGGGGCUCCGGCCGGCCGAGAUCAACCCGUCCCCAUGGAUCUCUUAACAGCCAAGAGGUUCAUACUUUAUAGGAAAGUACACAAGAAAAUAGAUUUCUGAAAGAUGUCCCUCCUGUGUACAAGAAGGAUGUCCCAGAUGCUCGGUGUGUUUUAGUUUCUGCUCCAGAAAGGCAAAUGUAUGCCAACACAGAGAUAAUCCUGGGAAACGUGCCCUACUGCUGGUUUUACCUAUGCAGCAUACAUGAUCUGCCUUUAUCCAUAAACAACUAUUAACAGCAUAUCACAUCUGAGUUUAUGAAGACCUUUACCUAGUAUGUGU
This 408-nucleotide long non-coding RNA is filed under the name Cyanistes caeruleus (blue tit). RNAcentral's name for it is "lncRNA (ENSCCEG00000009569.1)". Lineage: Eukaryota; Metazoa; Chordata; Aves; Passeriformes; Paridae. The record is from RNAcentral.